GACGAACGCCGGCGGCGUGCUUAACACAUGCAAGUCGAACGGAGAAGCCCUUCGGUGUGGGUCAGCUGCGAACGGGUGCGUAACACGUGAGCAACCUGCCCCUGCCCCUGGGACAACCAUUGGAAACGGUGGCUAAUACCGGAUACGACCCGCCUCUGCAUCGACUGGGGGUGGAAAGGUUUUCGGCUGGGGAUGGGCUCGCGGCUUAUCAGCUUGUUGGUGAGGUGAAGGCUCACCAAGGCGACGACGGGUAGCCGGCCUGAGAGGGCGACCGGCCACAAUGGGACUGAGACACGGCCCAGACUCCUACGGGAGGCAGCAGUGGGGAAUAUUGCACAAUGGGCGGAAGCCUGAUGCAGCGACGCCGCGUGCGGGAUGACGGCCUUCGGGUUGUAAACCUCUUUCGGCUCCGACGAAGCGAAAGUGACGGUAGGGGCAGAAGAAGCACCGGCUAACUACGUG
RNAcentral lists this ribosomal RNA (462 nucleotides) under uncultured bacterium. RNAcentral's name for it is "partial 16S ribosomal RNA". It matches the Rfam family "Bacterial small subunit ribosomal RNA", at positions 28 to 507 of the family's 1533-position model. The record is from RNAcentral.